RNAcentral lists this ribosomal RNA (373 nucleotides) under uncultured organism. Its description in RNAcentral is "bacterial SSU rRNA". It matches the Rfam family "Bacterial small subunit ribosomal RNA", at positions 526 to 896 of the family's 1533-position model. The record is from RNAcentral.
CGGGGGGGGCAAGCGUUGUUCGGAAUUACUGGGCGUAAAGGGCUCGUAGGCGGCCAACUAAGUCCGACGUGAAAUCCCCAGGCUUAACCUGGGAACUGCGUCGGAUACUGGAUGGCUUGAAUUCGGGAGAGGGAUGCAGAAUUCCAGGUGUAGCGGUGAAAUGCGUAGAUAUCUGGAGGAAUACCGGUGGCGAAGGCGGCAUCCUGGACCGACAUUGACGCUGAGUGAGCGAAAGCUAGGGGAGCAAACGGGAUUAGAUACCCCGGUAGUCCUAGCCCUAAACGAUGAAUGCUUGGUGUGGCGGGUAUCGAUCCCUGCCGUGCUGAAGCUAACGCAUUAAGCAUUCCGCCUGGGGAGUACGGUCGCAAGGCUG